AGAGUCUUUACUCAUUGAUCCUAGUUCUGUGUCUGGUAAUGUCUCACUUCGCAAGCAAUUUUCCAAUGAUGAAGACACCAGUGCAAAGAUGACUAAGACUUCUGGAGAUGAAAGUCCUUCACAGGAACAAGGAGCAAAACAACUAGACAUAGGGCUCAAAACAUGCAGCAAUGGAGGUAAAAUUAUGUCUGAGGAGAUGUCUACUAUCUCUGAAUCUGGACAUUUGCCUACUCAUUACAGACAAGCAAGUGCAAACUUUUUUCAAGACACUGAUGAUUUUGUCUCACAAGAAGGUGAUUAUAAAGCUGGACUGCCAGCUUCAUCAGGUGCUUGUCA
This 336-nucleotide unclassified non-coding RNA is filed under the name Hevea brasiliensis (rubber tree). Lineage: Eukaryota; Viridiplantae; Streptophyta; Magnoliopsida; Malpighiales; Euphorbiaceae. The record is from RNAcentral.